AUUGAACGCUGGCGGCAUGCUUUACACAUGCAAGUCGAACGGCAGCGCGGGCUUCGGCCUGGCGGCGAGUGGCGAACGGGUGAGUAAUACAUCGGAACGUGCCCAGUAGUGGGGGAUAGCUCGGCGAAAGCCGGAUUAAUACCGCAUACGACCUGAGGGUGAAAGCGGGGGAUCUUCGGACCUCGCGCUAUUGGAGCGGCCGAUGGCAGAUUAGCUAGUUGGUGGGGUAAAGGCCUACCAAGGCGACGAUCUGUAGCUGGUCUGAGAGGACGACCAGCCACACUGGGACUGAGACACGGCCCAGACUCCUACGGGAGGCAGCAGUGGGGAAUUUUGGACAAUGGGCGAAAGCCUGAUCCAGCAAUGCCGCGUGUGUGAUGAAGGCCUUCGGGUUGUAAAGCACUUUUGGCGGGAACGAAAAGGACUGUGCCAAUACCACGGUUCGAUGACGGUACCCGCAGAAUAAGCACCGACUAACUACGUG
RNAcentral lists this ribosomal RNA (484 nucleotides) under uncultured bacterium. RNAcentral describes it as "partial 16S ribosomal RNA". It matches the Rfam family "Bacterial small subunit ribosomal RNA", at positions 29 to 507 of the family's 1533-position model. The record is from RNAcentral.